GGAAUCUUUUUAAAAGUAAAUAUGUAAAAAUCAAGGGAUGUAUUUCACCAGCUCUUUCCUAAGAAAUCCUCUUCUGCGCGAUGGGGCUAUUUUCUAGAGGAAGAUUUGCCUCUGGAAGGGAAGGGCGCUGGACGCAGCGCGAUCUUGGCGGGUUGUAUAUAUGGGUGGGUACGUGUGCGUGGGCACGUAUAUAAGCCAUUACUGAGACACGACUUCGUCACCACUCAUUAUAUUCAAUUCUUUCUAAACACAGGAAGAAAUGACUAGUGAUGUUGUGACAUCCCUUGUACUCUGCCAGCCCUGCAGUUCCGCUCUGCCAGGCGCGGCGUGCGCUUUGAACCCUGCGUCCUGCCCCGGGUUUCUAAUGCUGUAUCAACACGGUGCAUUGCAGGGCGUAUUCACCACCGCAAGUUACUGAAAACCUGCGUGAACCUGAACUGAGUUUGGGAAAAGGAUUGAUGUUUCGGCUCAGUCUGAACUGUUAUCAGCAUGUUCAUAUUUGCAGGCUCAACAAGCAUCAGCAAAACAAACAGUUCAAGUGACUUGAGCAAGAUCACCUUGCAGGUAAGGGACAGAGACAGAAAUAGAUCCCGUGUCUGCUAUCCCAUGUCUCCACCUGACCAUUUUCAACUCUAAUUAAGCAAUUACAAAGGCUGUUUGCCUGUCAAGGUGAUAAUCAGCUACACUGCUGAUUGCAGUGAGUUUUCAUCACCUGAUAGGACCGAGGCUCACAGAACAGACACUUUCAGCUGCUGUAAAUCAGCACAGCAUCGCUCUCCCUUCCAGCGAACCACGCUAAUUUACACUGCUGAUUUAUGUUGGCCUCACUGAGGUCCCUGACCAGAUGUGCGGUGGUGGAUUAAAAUCAGACGAACGAAGGGCUGUGAGGUGCCACUGGCCUGCCGCCCCGUCCUGCAAAUGGGGCAUUGCCACCCAGAGGCAGGGACGUCUCAUUUAGGGCAGUUCAGGAGCUUUUGCACAAGGGGAUGAGACGGUCUCGGUGGUGGUAGCAGUCCCCGUCGGAGGAGCAGGGCAGAUGGCUGCGUGCGGUGGCAGCUCCGACCGCCCAAUUUUAAUCCGCUGCCACAUGCCUGUCAGAGCCUGAGUCACGUUCUGCUGUCUUUAAUCUAGCAAAACUCUCAUGGGCUGAAUACAAAUCACCCGAUGCUUAGGGACCCCCCCGCAGCCCCGUCCGCGGCUCAGGCAGGGCUGAUGGAAGCGCUGUGCUUCUCCUUUGGCAGAGGAAGAGACAGAAUCAAACCAUAUUCGCUGCAAGUAGAAGCCACAAAUACAUCAGGGAAGGAGAAGUAAAGCAUUCCCAGGAUGAGAAGUACGUGGCAUGGUUUAGAGUUGACAGUGGGAACAAACUAAUCUUGAUGGAUCGGGCCUGAUUUUGGGGGAAACCCCACUGCAUUUUGUGUACCAUCCCUUCUCCCCUCUUCCUCUGCAAAGUGCCUGAUCCACUUAUCUUUGAACAGGUCUGGGUAUUGGUUCAGGCCCUCGAAAACAGCAGUUUAAGGGAGCAAAUUGUCAGCACAUGGAUGCUAGAUACUGGAAACAGAAUCUCAGUUUUUACUAUUUGAAUUAGACUCUGGAGUCUUCCUUUGAGCAACUAACCUUUCACACUCAGGGUACGGAGACUUGGAGAGUUAAUCAGGAGUCUUUGAGGAGGUUUUAGGAGAGAGCAUCUACUCAAACAGGUGGUGCAUUCUGAUAUUGCAAAAUCCAUCUAUUUUCUCACAUCAGGCUGAAAAUUCACAGCAGCCUCCCCCCAGUCACGGAAUUAAAUACUCUGAACGAUCGGUUUCAGGAACAGGCAGGCUGAAAAGCAACACUUAGCUCAGGGCAGCCACAGCUGUUAAAUGGAAUAUGCACAUGACACAAUAAAGCUAAUCCUGGAAUAAAAGCUCUAGCA
Molecule: long non-coding RNA, 1915 nt
Organism: Apteryx owenii (little spotted kiwi)
Lineage: Eukaryota; Metazoa; Chordata; Aves; Apterygiformes; Apterygidae
Source: Ensembl